Long non-coding RNA from Ruditapes philippinarum (Manila clam), 1535 nucleotides. RefSeq lists it as uncharacterized. The transcript has 3 exons. The record is from RefSeq and is a predicted model, not a curated record. Lineage: Eukaryota; Metazoa; Mollusca; Bivalvia; Venerida; Veneridae.
CUUUUUGCAACUUGGAGCCUUAAUAAGUAAAUAACUGUACACUGCAACAUGUCAAUCCUAAAAGUACCAUCUGUGAGUGGAUGAAAGUUGUGUAGGGGUUGGCAUCAGACUUGUAAUUGGAGAUUGUGGUAAAAUUAAAUUCCACCAGUGUUGAGAGAUUUUAUCUAGCUGUUGAAAUUACACAUUAGAUUUUUAACCAAUGUUGUGACCAUCAUUGAGAAUUUCAAAUAUCCACAAGGACUGAUUUGAUUUGAACCCUGUCCAUUUUGAUUAUUAGGCAGAUAUUCAAGCACAUUGAAUCCAGGUCAACUUUUUUUUUUUUUUUUUCUUUCUACAUCAUACUGCUUUAAAAUCGUUUUUGAUCACUCUAAGCCGGUAUACCUUGUAUACAUUUAUGAUUAAAGAGACAGCUAUAAGAUACAAGGGAAUCCGGGAACCAGUCCCUAGCUCUUAUUGAAUAGACCCCUUGGUUCUUUUACAUGCCCAGUGUAUAGCACUGAUACAUGUGAGGAUUACCUGGAUUUCUUACCAGUACACCUCUAGGUAGGUGGGAAACACUGAAUUUGUCUCUGAAAAAUCCCAAGGGUGUAACCCAGGAUCGAACCCGGGACCUCAGGAGUGAUAAUUAGUGGUUUAACCAACUGAGGUAUCGCGCCACCUAACAGCAAUACUGCUGGAAGUGGCCUUCAUCAUGUUCAUCUAAAAUAGUUUUACAUUGUUCAAAAUGUUUAUGAACAUUUUAUAAAGAUAAAGACUAUAAACCAUAAAAAAACAUAGAUUUAGACUAAUCAGUGUGCAUGAGAUGUCAUCUUUUUGUAUUUUCAGUUUUCAGUUAAAAUAAAAGAACAUAUUUUUGACAGAACUAUUUAAAGCUGCACACCUCCAGAUGUGCCAAAAUAGAAAAAAGAAAUUUAAUCUCUAGAAAAAUGUAUUAAGAUCUCAAGAAAAUUAAAAAGAUUCAAUAUUUAAUUAAUUUUGUUACAUGUUAUGAGCGAUUGAUGACUGAUUUUGCAGUAUCAAUCACUGUAAUUCUACUGUGUUACUAAGACAGUAAGAGGUAUUUAUGCAUAUUUUUGGUAAUUAACAUGGAUUUUAAGUUCUGUAUGAAAUGUGUAAAUUACUGUCUUUGUUUACUUCACAAUAAUACACUUUUAAAUACAUUUUCAAAAUUUUCAUGAAAAUUAGCAUGAAUCUGGAGGCAUGCUGCUUUAAGACCAAAAAUCCCAAAUGUUGCCUCUCUUUUGGAUGAAAAUAUGACCUACAUAGUUUCAGUAGAAAACCUGUAAAUGGGAAAGCAAUUGAUUUCUUCUUUAAGCUGGUAUUCUAAGUUAUAAAAUGUUCAUAUGAAUCAUAGCGUGAGAUUGUUGUUUUUUGUCUUCACAGAUACCAUUACCAUCCAUGAUAUCGAAAACUUUGUGUUCAGCGAUGGAGCAAGUAUACCAGCAUUCAACUGCAAGCCAUACAAUGAAGAUUAUUCUGGAAGUCAAGUGCCAAAGAAUGAGAUGUCUAAUGGUGAUGUAGCCAAAACUUCAGGA